Molecule: ribosomal RNA, 1342 nt
Filed under: uncultured bacterium
Lineage: Bacteria
Description: 16S ribosomal RNA
Rfam family: Bacterial small subunit ribosomal RNA
Source: RNAcentral
GACGAACGCUGGCGGCGUGCUUAACACAUGCAAGUCGAACGGAAAGGCCCUGCUUUUGUGGGGUGCUCGAGUGGCGAACGGGUGAGUAACACGUGAGUAACCUGCCCUUGACUUUGGGAUAACUUCAGGAAACUGGGGCUAAUACCGGAUAGGAGCUCCUGCUGCAUGGUGGGGGUUGGAAAGUUUCGGCGGUUGGGGAUGGACUCGCGGCUUAUCAGCUUGUUGGUGGGGUAGUGGCUUACCAAGGCUUUGACGGGUAGCCGGCCUGAGAGGGUGACCGGCCACAUUGGGACUGAGAUACGGCCCAGACUCCUACGGGAGGCAGCAGUGGGGAAUAUUGCACAAUGGGCGGAAGCCUGAUGCAGCAACGCCGCGUGCGGGAUGACGGCCUUCGGGUUGUAAACCGCUUUCGCCUGUGACGAAGCGUGAGUGACGGUAAUGGGUAAAGAAGCACCGGCUAACUACGUGCCAGCAGCCGCGGUGAUACGUAGGGUGCGAGCGUUGUCCGGAUUUAUUGGGCGUAAAGGGCUCGUAGGUGGUUGAUCGCGUCGGAAGUGUAAUCUUGGGGCUUAACCCUGAGCGUGCUUUCGAUACGGGUUGACUUGAGGAAGGUAGGGGAGAAUGGAAUUCCUGGUGGAGCGGUGGAAUGCGCAGAUAUCAGGAGGAACACCAGUGGCGAAGGCGGUUCUCUGGGCCUUUCCUGACGCUGAGGAGCGAAAGCGUGGGGAGCGAACAGGCUUAGAUACCCUGGUAGUCACGCUGUAAACGGUGGGUACUAGGUGUGGGGUCCAUUCCACGGGUUCCGCGCCGUAGCUAACGCUUUAAGUACCCCGCCUGGGGAGUACGGCCGCAAGGCUAAAACUCAAAGGAAUUGACGGGGCCCCGCACAAGCGGCGGAGCAUGCGGAUUAAUUCGAUGCAACGCGUAGAACCUUACCUGGGUUUGACAUGGAUCGGGAGUGCUCAGAGAUGGGUGUGCCUCUUUUGGGGUCGGUUCACAGGUGGUGCAUGGCUGUCGUCAGCUCGUGUCGUGAGAUGUUGGGUUAAGUCCCGCAACGAGCGCAACCCUUGUUCACUGUUGCCAGCACGUUAUGGUGGGGACUCAGUGGAGACCGCCGGGGUCAACUCGGAGGAAGGUGGGGAUGACGUCAAGUCAUCAUGCCCCUUAUGUCCAGGGCUUCACGCAUGCUACAAUGGCUGGUACAGAGAGUGGCGAGCCUGUGAGGGUGAGCGAAUCUCGGAAAGCCGGUCUCAGUUCGGAUUGGGGUCUGCAACUCGACCUCAUGAAGUCGGAGUCGCUAGUAAUCGCAGAUCAGCAACGCUGCGGUGAAUACGUUCCCGGG